UACGGAGGAUCCGAGCGUUAUCCGGAUUUAUUGGGUUUAAAGGGUGCGCAGGCGGGAGAUUAAGUCGACGGUGAAAUUUUGCAGCUCAACUGUAAAAGUGCCUUCGAAACUGGUUUCCUUGAGUGUAGAUGAAGUAGGCGGAAUUUGUGGUGUAGCGGUGAAAUGCAUAGAUAUCACGAGGAACUCCGAUUGCGCAGGCAGCUUACUAAACUACUACUGACGCUCAGGCACGAAGGCGUGGGGAUCAAACAGGAUUAGAUACCCCCGUAGU
This 271-nucleotide ribosomal RNA is filed under the name uncultured prokaryote. RNAcentral's name for it is "partial 16S ribosomal RNA". It matches the Rfam family "Bacterial small subunit ribosomal RNA", at positions 524 to 794 of the family's 1533-position model. The record is from RNAcentral.